Molecule: ribosomal RNA, 495 nt
Filed under: uncultured bacterium
Lineage: Bacteria
Description: bacterial SSU rRNA
Rfam family: Bacterial small subunit ribosomal RNA
Source: RNAcentral
UGAACGCUGGCGGCGUGCCUAAUACAUGCAAGUCGACGAAGCGAGAUCCAGCUUGCUGGAUUAGCGAGUGGCGAACGGGUGAGUAAUACGUAAGCAACCUGCCUACACGGACUGGGAUAACACCUGGAAACGGGCGCUAAUACCGGAUAGGUAACGAGAGGGCAUCCUCUUGUUAUUAAAGGUUUGAAACACAAGUAGAUGGGCUUACGGUGCAUUAGCUAGUUGGUGAGGUAACGGCCCACCAAGGCGAUGAUGCAUAGCCGGCCUGAGAGGGUGAACGGCCACAUUGGGACUGAGACACGGCCCAGACUCCUACGGGAGGCAGCAGUAGGGAAUUUUCGGCAAUGGGCGCAAGCCUGACCGAGCAACGCCGCGUGAAGUGAUGAAGGUUUUCGGAUCGUAAAGCUCUGUUGUAAGGGAAGAAUGGCGCGGAUAGACUCCGCGAUUGACGGUACCUUACCAGAAAGCCACGGCUAACUACGUGCCAGCAGCGGC